GUCCGCGUAGCUCAGAGGAUAGAGCGCUUGACUUCUAAUCACGCACUGAGUCAGACAUCAAGCGGCCGCGGGUUCGAUCCCCGUCGUGGACA
RNAcentral lists this transfer RNA (92 nucleotides) under Micromonas pusilla CCMP1545. It matches the Rfam family "tRNA". Rfam says of the family: Transfer RNA (tRNA) molecules are approximately 80 nucleotides in length. The record is from Rfam by way of RNAcentral. Lineage: Eukaryota; Viridiplantae; Chlorophyta; Mamiellophyceae; Mamiellales; Mamiellaceae.